AAGAGUGAAAGAGUGUUGUGUGCUUUUGCUGAGUUUAGGAUGGUGUCAAUUGUGCCUCAGGAGAAGAGUUUAGACAUUCUGUCCUGAUGAAUGUAAUCAAGUCUUUAUUUCAUGGUUUCUCUUAACGCAAAUACGUACAGGUUCAUAUUCGUCGAUGAGGGUGAGAGGAAAACUAUCGCCAACAGAAAGAAUCCAGAUAGGAAGAGAGAAAAAGAAAGACCAGAGAUGGAUUUUGUGUCCUUUUUAAAACAGCCUCAAUCACCUGAUUCCUCCCUGCCACUUCUCUGCAAAUGAUAGAGUUCACACAUCUAUAAUUCUCUCAUAGGUUCAUGUGGGCUGCUCCUCAUAACCCUGCUCAAACACUACUGAGGCAUCAGGAUCUUCAAGAUUCAUAAUCACAUAACAAUUGUUUUGAGCUGAAGACAGCAGAAGAACAUAAGGAUACCCUGUACUUCUCAGGAGGAUAGGAACAUCAGAUUUGGAAUGGGUAGGUCACAGGAAUUUCUCCAGAUGAAUUAUGCUGAUGCUUUUCCUUGCAGGGUGCUUUGGUGGGCUCUUCUGGGGACAAAAGAAAGCACAACAAAAAAAGGAAAUAAAUGGCAUAUGCAAACCC
RNAcentral lists this long non-coding RNA (613 nucleotides) under Homo sapiens (human). RNAcentral describes it as "non-protein coding lnc-RDX-1:2". The record is from RNAcentral. Lineage: Eukaryota; Metazoa; Chordata; Mammalia; Primates; Hominidae.